UGCACUGACAUGGACCCCGAGCCGCAGACC
This 30-nucleotide non-coding RNA is filed under the name Homo sapiens (human). The record is from RNAcentral. Lineage: Eukaryota; Metazoa; Chordata; Mammalia; Primates; Hominidae.